AUUGAACGCUGGCGGCAGGCCUAACACAUGCAAGUCGAACGGUAACAGAAAGCAGCUUGCUGCUUUGCUGACGAGUGGCGGACGGGUGAGUAAUGUCUGGGAAACUGCCUGAUGGAGGGGGAUAACUACUGGAAACGGUAGCUAAUACCGCAUAACGUCGCAAGACCAAAGAGGGGGACCUUCGGGCCUCUUGCCAUCGGAUGUGCCCAGAUGGGAUUAGCUAGUAGGUGGGGUAACGGCUCACCUAGGCGACGAUCCCUAGCUGGUCUGAGAGGAUGACCAGCCACACUGGAACUGAGACACGGUCCAGACUCCGACGGGAGGCAGCAGUGGGGAAUAUUGCACAAUGGGCGCAAGCCUGAUGCAGCCAUGCCGCGUGUAUGAAGAAGGCCUUCGGGUUGUAAAGUACUUUCAGCGGGAAGGAAGGGAGUAAAGUUAAUACCUUUGCUCAUUGACGUUACCCGCAGAAGAAGCACCGGCUAACUCCGUG
This 490-nucleotide ribosomal RNA is filed under the name uncultured bacterium. RNAcentral's name for it is "partial 16S ribosomal RNA". It matches the Rfam family "Bacterial small subunit ribosomal RNA", at positions 30 to 507 of the family's 1533-position model. The record is from RNAcentral.